RNAcentral lists this long non-coding RNA (1382 nucleotides) under Felis catus (domestic cat). RNAcentral describes it as "lncRNA (ENSFCAG00000044795.2)". Lineage: Eukaryota; Metazoa; Chordata; Mammalia; Carnivora; Felidae. The record is from RNAcentral.
GGGGGGGGGGACGGUGGCUAGAGAAGGUGGGCCUGAAGCUCAGGCUUAAGCUCUGUGGGCCCAGGGAAAUUCGAAACUGGCCCCUGAGGGCAAGGAGAGGCCGAAGGAAGAGGAAGUUCACUCCACAGGGGUAGGGGGCAAUUUUAAAAAGCAAGGGAAUUUAGGAGGGUUGGUCUGGGCGGCCACCAGACGACUACACCUGGCCCCUGCCUGCCAGAAUCUUCGGCCUCAAGGGGGUCGAGUCACGCCUGCGCUCCACGUGGUGUCAGCAACAUUACGGUGUCUAGGCUGCAUCCUCGAAAGGGCCCGUAGUGCAGGUAGAGUGGGCCGAGGGCACACCCAGGACGGGUGGGGGGUCGGGGGUGAGCCGCCUGCCCUUGCCCGGCCAGCUGUCGUCCGCCGGCUGUCUUCGCCCUCUCAGUGACUUCGAACAGCAAGCUGGGACCAGAGGGUAAGCUCUCUGCGGGGCUGAGAAGAGGUGUGUGGCGGACCCUGAAGAUUGCACUCCGUAUCCCUCUAUUCCCGUUUGCUUUUUUACUCUGGCUGGAGGCAUCUACCCAGUGUUUAACGCCUGGGGUCGCCGGAAGCCGCCGCGUAGCAUCUCCCGGGAGGAGAACAGAAGAAAAAGAUGAGAAGCUGAUCCCACAGUAUUGUUUGAGCUCUUGAAUCCUGCUGUACCCGAACCCGAGUUUUACCCCCGGACUCUUAAAAGAUAAGUGAAACAACGAAUUCACUGUUCGCUGAUUGCUGUUGCAGUGGGAAGAGACGUGGCGAAUACCACCUCCACAACGAGCAGGCAAGAGCCAGAUGCCAGCUAUAUUUAAACAUUUGAGACAGUUCGAAGCUUAAAAGGAAUAGAAAAUCCCAGGACUGAAGACUCUGAGCACACCUCGUGGACAAUCACUCUGAACCAAGGGAGAGUGUGGACUGCCACGCGGCAGUCGGCAACAUGAAUCCGGAGGCAGCCCUGGGCCAGGUGGGGAAGGAGGGGCAUGUACUUGACUGACAGCCAGGAAUGGCAGUGGCGUAAAUCAAGGCCCCAGGACUGGUACCAGUGUUUUUCCUUGGAGGGGGAAGUGCAGCGCCUGAUUGAUGAGAAGGGCUCAGCUUCAGUCCGAGGGACCCUGAUUGUUCAGCAGUGUUUCGAUUUAUGCGCCAGAAGUUGUGACGGCUCUGGAAUUGCUGCCCGUUCCACUGCCUCCGCCUGCCCUCCACAGGCGCAAGGCAAACAUCCGAGCUCUCCGAUUAGACAGCUGGAUGCCAGAGGGGGCAGCGGAAGAUUCUCAGCCAGGUGUGCAAGCUGGCAGAGAGCGAUGGAGAAUAAGGCUGAGCAAAGACAAAGAAGGACAAAGGAGAGAAAGUCUGUGUCUUGGUGGCUGUGA